AGUGAACGCUGGCGGUAGGCCUAACACAUGCAAGUCGAACGGCAGCACAGUAAGAGCUUGCUCUUACGGGUGGCGAGUGGCGGACGGGUGAGGAAUACAUCGGAAUCUACUUUUUCGUGGGGGAUAACGUAGGGAAACUUACGCUAAUACCGCAUACGACCUACGGGUGAAAGCAGGGGAUCUUCGGACCUUGCGCGAUUGAAUGAGCCGAUGUCGGAUUAGCUAGUUGGCGGGGUAAAGCCCACCAAGGCGACGAUCCGUAGCUGGUCUGAGAGGAUGAUCAGCCACACUGGAACUGAGACACGGUCCAGACUCCUACGGGAGGCAGCAGUGGGGAAUAUUGGACAAUGGGCGCAAGCCUGAUCCAGCCAUACCGCGUGGGUGAAGAAGGCCUUCGGGUUGUAAAGCCCUUUUGUUGGGAAAGAAAAGCAGCAGGUUAAUACCCCGCUGUUCUGACGGUGCCCAAAGAAUAAGCACCGGCUAACUUCGUG
Molecule: ribosomal RNA, 491 nt
Filed under: uncultured bacterium
Lineage: Bacteria
Description: partial 16S ribosomal RNA
Rfam family: Bacterial small subunit ribosomal RNA
Source: RNAcentral